Dreissena polymorpha is the source of this 343-nucleotide long non-coding RNA. RefSeq lists it as uncharacterized. The transcript is spliced from 3 exons. The record is from RefSeq and is a predicted model, not a curated record. Lineage: Eukaryota; Metazoa; Mollusca; Bivalvia; Myida; Dreissenidae.
AUACCUCUAUUUUCUUGUUGCAGGUGUGAGUGAUUUGCAGCUGAUCCCUCUAUGUUCUGGUUGCAGGUGUGAGUGAUUUGCAGCUGAUCCCUCUAUGUUCUGGUUGCAGGUGUGAGUGAUGUGCAGCAGAUCCCUCUAUGUUCUGGUUGCAGGUGUGAGUGAUUAGAAGCUGAUCCCUCUGUGUUCUGGGUGCAGGUGUGAGUGAUGUAGAGCUGAUCCCUCUAUGUUAUGGUUGCAGGUGUGAGUGAUGUACAGCUGAUCCCUCUAUGUUAUGGUUGCAGGUGUGAGUGAUUAGAAGCUGAUCCCUCUGUGUUCUGGUUGCAGGUGUGAGUGAUGUGGAGCU